CCAAUAGCGUAUAUUAAAGUUGUUGCAGUUAAAAAGCUCGUAGUUGAAUUUCGGGGUUCUACCGUUGGUCAGGCUAUUGUCUGUACUGGCGUGUAGAAUUUCUACCUUCUGGUGAACUAUCAUGUUAUUAAUUUAGCGUGGUAGGAAACCAGGACCUUUACCUUGAAAAAAUUAGAGUGUUCAAAGCAGGCUUAUGUCUGAAUACAUUAGCCGGGAAUAAUAAAAUAGGACGGUGGCCCUGUUUUGUUGGUUUCUGAAUCACCGUAAUGAUUAAUAGGGAUAGUUGGGGGCAUUAGUAUUCAAUUGUCAGAGGUGAAAUUCUUGGAUUUAUUGAAGACUGACUACUGCGAAAGCAUUUGCCAAGGAUGUUUUCAUUAAUCAAGAACGAAAGUUAGGGGAUCGAAGACGAUCAGAUACCGUCGUAGUCUUAACCAUAAACUAUGCCGACUAGGGAUCGGACGAUGUUAACUUUUCUUGACUCGUUCGGCGCCUUACG
This 496-nucleotide ribosomal RNA is filed under the name uncultured Glomeromycotina. RNAcentral describes it as "partial small subunit ribosomal RNA". It matches the Rfam family "Eukaryotic small subunit ribosomal RNA", at positions 591 to 1092 of the family's 1831-position model. The record is from RNAcentral. Lineage: Eukaryota; Fungi; Glomeromycota.